GACGAACGCUGGCGGCGUGCUUAACACAUGCAAGUCGAACGGAAAGUCCCUGCUUUUGUGGGGUGCUCGAGUGGCGAACGGGUGAGUAACACGUGAGUAACCUGCCCUUGACUUUGGGAUAACUUCAGGAAACUGGGGCUAAUACCGGAUAGGAGCUCCUGCUGCAUGGUGGGGGUUGGAAAGUUUCGGCGGUUGGGGAUGGACUCGCGGCUUAUCAGCUUGUUGGUGGGGUAGUGGCUUACCAAGGCUUUGACGGGUAGCCGGCCUGAGAGGGUGACCGGCCAAAUUGGGACUGAGAUACGGCCCAGACUCCUACGGGAGGCAGCAGUGGGGAAUAUUGCACAAUGGGCGGAAGCCUGAUGCAGCAACGCCGCGUGCGGGAUGACGGCCUUCGGGUUGUAAACCGCUUUCGCCUGUGACGAAGCGUGAGUGACGGUAAUGGGUAAAGAAGCACCGGCUAACUACGUG
RNAcentral lists this ribosomal RNA (468 nucleotides) under uncultured bacterium. Its description in RNAcentral is "partial 16S ribosomal RNA". It matches the Rfam family "Bacterial small subunit ribosomal RNA", at positions 28 to 507 of the family's 1533-position model. The record is from RNAcentral.